Non-coding RNA from Paramuricea clavata, 288 nucleotides. NCBI's taxonomy places the organism in Eukaryota, Metazoa, Cnidaria, Anthozoa, Malacalcyonacea, Plexauridae. The record is from the annotation of a GenBank genome assembly.
AAGAGGAGAGCAAAGCAUCGAUCGAGGAGACGGCUGAGACAUCGUGAUGAUGAACCUGCGUGUGUAUAAAUGUGAAUAGCUCUUUGGGGAAGACGAUGAAAUUACAAAACGAUGCUAGAGCUACAGAGUUGGCUGAUGUCUUUCCAGGUCUGCCUGGCAAUGAUGAAGAUGGAUAUAGGUUGAGAAAUAUAAAACAUUCAGCCUCUGUGUUCUCUGAAAUUCAUGUUUGCGAUGAAGGUAUUUAGUGAUAAUUUGUUUUUAAAUUGGCUUUGCCAGUUUGCCCUAUCA